RNAcentral lists this ribosomal RNA (506 nucleotides) under uncultured bacterium. RNAcentral's name for it is "partial 16S ribosomal RNA". It matches the Rfam family "Bacterial small subunit ribosomal RNA", at positions 29 to 523 of the family's 1533-position model. The record is from RNAcentral.
AGUGAACGCUGGCGGUAGGCCUAACACAUGCAAGUCGAACGGCAGCACAGGAGAGCUUGCUCUCUGGGUGGCGAGUGGCGGACGGGUGAGGAAUACAUCGGAAUCUACUCUGUCGUGGGGGAUAACGUAGGGAAACUUACGCUAAUACCGCAUACGACCUACGGGUGAAAGCAGGGGACCUUCGGGCCUUGCGCGAUUGAAUGAGCCGAUGUCGGAUUAGCUAGUUGGCGGGGUAAAGGCCCACCAAGGCGACGAUCCGUAGCUGGUCUGAGAGGAUGAGCGGCCACACUGGAACUGAAACACGGUCCAGACUCCUACGGGAGGCAGCAGUGGGGAAUAUUGGACAAUGGGCGCAAGCCUGAUCCAGCCAUACCGCGUGGGUGAAGAAGGCCUUCGGGUUGUAAAGCCCUUUUGUUGGGAAAGAAAUCCAGCUGGCUAAUACCCGGUUGGGAUGACGGUACCCAAAGAAUAAGCACCGGCUAACUUCGUGCCAGCCGCCGCCGUAA